RNAcentral lists this transfer RNA (70 nucleotides) under Marmota monax (woodchuck). RNAcentral describes it as "tRNA.Ala". Lineage: Eukaryota; Metazoa; Chordata; Mammalia; Rodentia; Sciuridae. The record is from RNAcentral.
GUGCUGGGGCUCAGGGGCAGGGCCCUUGCCUAGCAUGUGUGAGGCCCUGGGUUCGAUCCUCAGCACCACA